RNAcentral lists this transfer RNA (60 nucleotides) under Unionicola foili. RNAcentral describes it as "tRNA-Asp". Lineage: Eukaryota; Metazoa; Arthropoda; Arachnida; Trombidiformes; Unionicolidae. The record is from RNAcentral.
AAAGUGUUAAUAAAAAUAUUAUAUUUCACUGUCAGUGAAAAAUUGUUGAAUCACACUUUU